RNAcentral lists this ribosomal RNA (641 nucleotides) under Salmonella enterica subsp. enterica serovar Infantis. RNAcentral's name for it is "partial 23S ribosomal RNA". It matches the Rfam family "Bacterial large subunit ribosomal RNA", at positions 2259 to 2894 of the family's 2925-position model. RNAcentral also lists the same sequence under 6 other names. The record is from RNAcentral. Lineage: Bacteria; Pseudomonadati; Pseudomonadota; Gammaproteobacteria; Enterobacterales; Enterobacteriaceae.
UGGUGGGUAGUUUGACUGGGGCGGUCUCCUCCUAAAGAGUAACGGAGGAGCACGAAGGUUGGCUAAUCCUGGUCGGACAUCAGGAGGUUAGUGCAAUGGCAUAAGCCAGCUUGACUGCGAGCGUGACGGCGCGAGCAGGUGCGAAAGCAGGUCAUAGUGAUCCGGUGGUUCUGAAUGGAAGGGCCAUCGCUCAACGGAUAAAAGGUACUCCGGGGAUAACAGGCUGAUACCGCCCAAGAGUUCAUAUCGACGGCGGUGUUUGGCACCUCGAUGUCGGCUCAUCACAUCCUGGGGCUGAAGUAGGUCCCAAGGGUAUGGCUGUUCGCCAUUUAAAGUGGUACGCGAGCUGGGUUUAGAACGUCGUGAGACAGUUCGGUCCCUAUCUGCCGUGGGCGCUGGAGAACUGAGGGGGGCUGCUCCUAGUACGAGAGGACCGGAGUGGACGCAUCACUGGUGUUCGGGUUGUCAUGCCAAUGGCACUGCCCGGUAGCUAAAUGCGGAAGAGAUAAGUGCUGAAAGCAUCUAAGCACGAAACUUGCCCCGAGAUGAGUUCUCCCUGAGACUUAGAGUCUCCUGAAGGAACGUUGAAGACGACGACGUUGAUAGGCCGGGUGUGUAAGCGCAGCGAUGCGUUGAGCUAA